UACGUUUUUGGCUUUCGUGCUGUAUGUUU
RNAcentral lists this non-coding RNA (29 nucleotides) under Mus musculus (house mouse). Lineage: Eukaryota; Metazoa; Chordata; Mammalia; Rodentia; Muridae. The record is from RNAcentral.